This 396-nucleotide ribosomal RNA is filed under the name uncultured bacterium. RNAcentral describes it as "bacterial SSU rRNA". It matches the Rfam family "Bacterial small subunit ribosomal RNA", at positions 107 to 507 of the family's 1533-position model. The record is from RNAcentral.
UGCGUAACGCGUAGGUAAUCUGCCCUGAGGUCUGACAUAACCCGUCGAAAGGCGGGCUAACAUCAGAUGAUAUAUAAUCACGACAUCGUGGAAAUAUCAAAUCUUCGGAGCCUUGGGAUGAGCCUGCGUCUGAUUAGGUAGUUGGCGGAGUAAUAGCCCACCAAGCCUACGAUCAGUAGCUGGUCUGAGAGGAUGAUCAGCCACACUGGAACUGAGACACGGUCCAGACUCCUACGGGAGGCAGCAGUAAGGAAUAUUGCUCAAUGGGGGAAACCCUGAAGCAGCAACGCCGCGUGAAGGAUGAAAUACUUUGUAUGUAAACUUCUGUAAGAUGGGAAAAUAUUCUCCUCGGGAGAAUUGAUUGUACCAUCAGAGUAAGCCCCGGCUAACUACGUG